UUUUUCGGCCAUACCACCCUGAGCACACCCAAUGUUGUCUGAGUUCUGAAGUUAAGCAGGGUUGGAGUUGGUUAGUACUUGGAUGGGAGACUGGCUGGGAAUACCAGGUGCUGUAAGCU
Molecule: ribosomal RNA, 119 nt
Filed under: Oreochromis niloticus (Nile tilapia)
Lineage: Eukaryota; Metazoa; Chordata; Actinopteri; Cichliformes; Cichlidae
Also listed under: 1 other name
Source: RNAcentral